AGUUGAACCUUGGGCCUGGCUGGCCGGUCCGCCUCACCGCGUGCACUGGUUCGGCCGGGCCUUUCCCUCUGGGGAGCCCUAUGCCCUUCACUGGGUGUAGUGGGGAACCAGGACUUUUACUGUGAAAAAAUUAGAGUGUUCAAAGCAGGCAUAUGCUCGAAUACAUCAGCAUGGAAUAAUAGAAUAGGACGUGUGGUUCUAUUUUGUUGGUUUCUAGGACCGCCGUAAUGAUUAAUAGGGACAGUCGGGGGCAUCAGUAUUCAAUUGUCAGAGGUGAAAUUCUUGGAUUUAUUGAAGACUAACUACUGCGAAAGCAUUUGCCAAGGAUGUUUUCAUUAAUCAGGAACGAAAGUUAGGGGAUCGAAGACGAUCAGAUACCGUCGUAGUCUUAACCAUAAACUAUGCCGACUAGGGAUCGGACGAUGUUAUUUUUUGACUCGUUCGGCACCUUACGAGAAAUCAAAGUUUUUGGGUUCUGGGGGGAGUAUGGUCGCAAGGCUGAAACUUAAAGGA
RNAcentral lists this ribosomal RNA (513 nucleotides) under Xylaria sp. RNAcentral describes it as "SSU rRNA". It matches the Rfam family "Eukaryotic small subunit ribosomal RNA", at positions 632 to 1151 of the family's 1831-position model. Lineage: Eukaryota; Fungi; Ascomycota; Sordariomycetes; Xylariales; Xylariaceae. The record is from RNAcentral.